CUACGGGGUGCACCAGCUACGAAACCUUUACAAUGCACGCAAGUGUGAUAAGGGGAUUCCGAGUGCUCAUGCAAUGCAUGGGCUUUUGCCAAGAGUAAAUAUCUUGGCGAAUAAGUGGUGGGCAAGACUGGUGCCAGCCGCCGCGGUAACACCAGCGCCACGAGUGGGAACCACAAUUAUUUGGCCUAAAGCGUCCGUAGCCGGUUUGCUAAAUUUCCUGUGAAAUCGUACCUCUUAACGGGACGGCGUGCAGGAAAGACUGGCAGACUUGGAACCAGUAGAGGUCAGGAGUAUUCCCGGUGUAGCGGUAAAAUGUUAUAAUCCCGGGAGGACUACCAAUGGCGAAGGCACCUGACCAGGAUGGAUUCGACGGUGAGGGUCGAAAGCUGGGGGAGCGAUCCGGAUUAGAUACCCCGGUAGUC
This 422-nucleotide ribosomal RNA is filed under the name uncultured archaeon. Its description in RNAcentral is "partial 16S ribosomal RNA". It matches the Rfam family "Archaeal small subunit ribosomal RNA", at positions 323 to 746 of the family's 1478-position model. The record is from RNAcentral.